CUAAUCUUGCCAUGUGACUGUUCCUACAUGGGUCCCACCAUUGUGAUGCCAUCUCCCAUUGUGAUGACACAGCCAAUGUCCCUCACCAGAGCCAAGCAGAUGUUGGUGCCAUGCUCUUAAACUUCUAAAAAUGUCAGCUGGCCUUGAUGCUCCAAUGGUCGAGACAUUCCCAAGUGAGUCUGUGCCUCAGGUUUCACUCUGCAGGUGUAUUUGUGCAGUCACAGGAGGAAGGGAGGCGCAUCCUCCACUGCUGCUUGUCACCAGCAUGGUGGUCUCCAAGAGGACGAGGACUUGUCCAUCCCCAAUGACCUGAAUGGUGCUUGGCACAUAGUGUGUGCUCAACAAACAUUGGCUCAAUGAUUGGCUUGGAUGAUUGAAUAGUUGUCAGUUCCCUACUCAAUGAUUUUCAGUCUUUAAACCCCCUCUCUGCCUUCCCUGUUCUAUAACACUUAUUGGGUCCCUACUGUGUGCCAAGAACAGGCUAGAGGAAAUGUACUUUCUUUUGGGGUGAUGAAACGUUUUGAAACUAGAUAAAGAUGUGUUUGCCCAACAUUGCACAUAUACUAAAUGCCACUUAAUUGUCUUAUUUAGAAUGGCUAACUUUUUAUGUAAAUGCUAACUCAAUUAAAACAACCAAACCAAACCAAAUAGACCAGGGGUGGUGAACUUAUGACAUAUGUGCAGCAGUGGGCUGUUUGUAUUAUUGAAGCCUCUAAAAGGUUCACCAUCACUGAGCUAGACCAUUAUAUCUCCGCUUAAAACUUGUCAACUUCUCCCCAUGGCACAAAAAAUAAAAUCCAGG
Molecule: non-coding RNA, 802 nt
Organism: Heterocephalus glaber (naked mole-rat)
Lineage: Eukaryota; Metazoa; Chordata; Mammalia; Rodentia; Bathyergidae
Source: RefSeq, a predicted model, not a curated record